UACAUAUGCAUCUGUACAUAUUUGUGUGUGUGUGUCAAUGAAUCUUGGAAGAAAAGUGUGAAACUGAGCUUCAGUUUCAAAACGGAGCUAUCCUACUCAAAUACAGAAUGUAACCAAGUCGUUAGUAAAGGCUUAUUGGGCAACAGCAACAACAAAGAGUUGACUCCAAAGAGGAAGGCCAACCAAGGAAGCAUGAUGGUGAUCUUAGAGGGCAUGAUAAACUGAUGGUCAUGCUGGCAACUGCUUUGUGGGGCAUUAGCUGUCGCUCCAGGGGUCAUAUAACAGAAGGUUCAUUGUGUAGCAGGUGAAGUGAUCAUUGUGCUAGGAACAGGUGCUUUGGGGAUCCCCCUGCUGAGAAUUUCCCUGAGGCCCUAUAUCUGCUUCCAGGCUGCACCCUCCCCCAUUCUAAUGGAAGGGCUCACUGGUUUUCAGCCAUCUGAAGGGAAUGCCUCCUGGAGACUGGGAGAACACAAACAAGCAGAUCUGCAAUGUGGUGUGAAGAAAACAGAGGAGGCACAAAUAUAGUGUGGCUAUUAAAACCAAAGUUUUGUAGAGCUUCAAAGGAUCCAAGGAACCAUCUAGGCAUUCCUAAGACUUAGAAAUUUAGGGCCCACAGGGUACAGGAUCUGCACAGGACCUGUUCAAGAU
RNAcentral lists this long non-coding RNA (648 nucleotides) under Felis catus (domestic cat). RNAcentral describes it as "lncRNA (ENSFCAG00000050222.1)". Lineage: Eukaryota; Metazoa; Chordata; Mammalia; Carnivora; Felidae. The record is from RNAcentral.